Molecule: small nuclear RNA, 124 nt
Organism: Protopterus annectens (West African lungfish)
Lineage: Eukaryota; Metazoa; Chordata; Ceratodontiformes; Protopteridae
Source: RefSeq, a predicted model, not a curated record
GUGUUGUAUGGAAGGAGAGGAGAUUAGCGGUUCCCUUGAUAAGGUUGGAAGAGGUCCUUCUGGCCUUUACAACACAUAAAUGGUUAAGGCAUUGCCACCUGGUGGUAUCUAACCACCAUUUUAG